RNAcentral lists this long non-coding RNA (1094 nucleotides) under Monodelphis domestica (gray short-tailed opossum). RNAcentral's name for it is "lncRNA (ENSMODG00000042063.1)". The record is from RNAcentral. Lineage: Eukaryota; Metazoa; Chordata; Mammalia; Didelphimorphia; Didelphidae.
AGGGCAUGAAAGUAUAAUGACUUUCCUAAAACAGAAGAAAAAGGAAAGAUUAUAAUUUAGGACACAUUUCUUUUUAACAUAUAAGUAGUACAUCUAUUAUCAUUGUGACAGAGGCUGGCACUAAAGAAAAGUGCCAAGCAGAAGAGUGUGUGGAACUGAUCACCUUGACAGGGGAGGGGCCCCAAGGGAUUGGAAUCUUGAGAAGAUUCUGUCUAGAAGAGCAGUUGGUCUCUCAGUUGGGAGAAGCCAAAGAGAUAAGGGUAAAAAAGACUUUCUCCUGAGGGUUACUCACUUUUUCCUGUCUAUGUCUGGAAAUCCUUCCCCCCAACAUUUCCAAAUUGAAAAGAUUAUUGAAGAGGAAACCUGAGAAAGACAUCUUAAAUCUCUGCCCAAUUUUACCUCAGCUCCUGUUGCCCUGAGUCUUAAGUGUGGCCAAGGGGCCAAACCCAGGCAAAUGUCUUCUUUCAAUACUAAAAGGAAGAGUGAAAGCAUUGCUUGAGAAAUUUAGGAAGCAUCUGGUAGCUAAAGGCCAAAUUUACUAUACUAAGAAGAGAAAAGAGGAGAAACAGAGAUUAUGAAGCAGCAAGCAAGCAAUGACAGAAGAGUGUACCAGCCCCAUUAUUAUGUAUUUUAUAUCACUGAAAUAACUAAUGUGGAGAAGAGAGAAAUUAUAAGAAAAUGCAUGCAAAGGACAGAAGCUGGAGAUGGGUCACCUGUCAAUCAAAGGAAAUUAAAUUUCAAUGUUACUGGGAAAAGCAGUUUGGAACCAAGCUAAUGGUGACUGUUUUUGAGUUUUGGGGCUGAUGGUGGUGACCCUGAAGGAAGAAGUUGGGUUUAUCUCUGGGAUAAUCAAGUUGGUGGUGACCUGGCUGAUUUAAAGGUGGAAGAAGAAGGACAAUAGUCCAUAUAUCUCUCUAUGACUGACUCUGUUUCAUGCUAGUGACUGAACUGCCAUUUCUCUCAAUAUACUCCAACAUAACACUCAUUGUAGAUAAUAGGGAAAUGCCACCCCUCUUACCUUAUCCUCCAUCUUUCCUGUUUACCCCAAUCAACCCUUACUUGAAAUAAAGAAGAGAAAAGAGUAUUUCCUCUCA